RNAcentral lists this ribosomal RNA (253 nucleotides) under uncultured bacterium. RNAcentral's name for it is "partial 16S ribosomal RNA". It matches the Rfam family "Bacterial small subunit ribosomal RNA", at positions 524 to 776 of the family's 1533-position model. The record is from RNAcentral.
UACAGGGGGCGCGAGCGUUGCUCGGAAUCACUGGGCGUAAAGCGUACGCAGGCGGGUCGAUAAGUUCGUUGUGAAAUCCCGGGGCUCAACCCCGGAACUGCGAUGAAGACUGUCGAUCUUGAGUACGGGAGAGGGGAGCGGAAUUCCUGGUGUAGAGGUGAAAUUCGUAGAUAUUCGCAAGAACACCAGUGGCGAAGGCGGCUCACUGGCCCGGUACUGACGCUGAGGUGCGAAAGUGUGGGGAGCAAACAGG